GUCCCCGUAGACCAACCGGCAGAGUCGAUGGACUCAAAAUCCAUUCAGUGUGGGUUCGAAUCCCACCGGGGACACCA
This 77-nucleotide transfer RNA is filed under the name Actinoplanes cyaneus. RNAcentral's name for it is "tRNA-Leu". It matches the Rfam family "tRNA". Rfam says of the family: Transfer RNA (tRNA) molecules are approximately 80 nucleotides in length. Their secondary structure includes four short double-helical elements and three loops (D, anti-codon, and T loops). Further hydrogen bonds mediate the characteristic L-shaped molecular structure. tRNAs have two regions of fundamental functional importance: the anti-codon, which is responsible for specific mRNA codon recognition, and the 3' end, to which the tRNAs corresponding amino acid is attached (by aminoacyl-tRNA synthetases). tRNAs cope with the degeneracy of the genetic code in two manners: having more than one tRNA (with a specific anti-codon) for a particular amino acid; and 'wobble' base-pairing, i.e. permitting non-standard base-pairing at the 3rd anti-codon position. The record is from RNAcentral. Lineage: Bacteria; Bacillati; Actinomycetota; Actinomycetes; Micromonosporales; Micromonosporaceae. RNAcentral also lists the same sequence under 11 other names.